This is a long non-coding RNA of Amphimedon queenslandica, 457 nucleotides long. RefSeq lists it as uncharacterized. Lineage: Eukaryota; Metazoa; Porifera; Demospongiae; Haplosclerida; Niphatidae. The record is from RefSeq and is a predicted model, not a curated record. The transcript has 3 exons.
CUUCAAUUUGCAAUCCUUUAAAUUAGAAAGCUUAUUGUUUUCAAGAUGGAAGGUGCCAGGAGAGUUUACUUACACAGAGUUGCGUUGGAGUCUCCUCACACUAAAAACAAGAUUAAAGCGGUCCAAGGUCUAGCUGAGAAAACAAGAACUCCUUUCACUCAUAUUAGACACAGAUGGGACGCAAGGAUAUUUAAAGGUGUAAAACUGGUCACUAUCGCUGGUCUAGGAUUGACGCUUCUGACCAUGUACAGAAUGGCGAGUGGUGAAAUGUCAAAGAGCAUCAUAUGAUAAUAAUAAUAAAUAAUAAUAAUUAAAAAAAAUACCCGGACUCAAAUAAUAGUAUUUUAAUUAUAAAACUAUAAUAAUUAUAUGCAAGCAAAAUUGAAUAGUGAGACAAUAUAGUAGUAGUAGUGUAUAUUAUCAAUAGCAAUUAUUUCAAAUAAAAGAUAAAUCAAGA